This 55-nucleotide small RNA is filed under the name Sinorhizobium meliloti 2011. RNAcentral's name for it is "putative ncRNA". Lineage: Bacteria; Pseudomonadati; Pseudomonadota; Alphaproteobacteria; Hyphomicrobiales; Rhizobiaceae. The record is from RNAcentral.
GUCGAAGGCUGCAGCGGCGGCGCGGAUAAGGAAGCGUCGCCCCUCGCGCAGCCGU